CUCUCCCUCCCCUCUUCACGUCCAAGAGGCUGGGCAUCCAUCUGGUGCUUGUCCAAGGUGUGGUGGCUUCCUAAUUAGAAGGCUGCAGAGAUUUAUCGAUAAGCUGCUGCUCCAACUUCAGAAGAUCUUUCAGAUCAGAUCCAGAUCUAAUUUUUGGAGCAAAGAUUCGUGAAGAGAAGAUGAUCCAAAUCCUACUUGAGUGGAUAUCGGUAGAGGU
Molecule: long non-coding RNA, 217 nt
Filed under: Elaeis guineensis (African oil palm)
Lineage: Eukaryota; Viridiplantae; Streptophyta; Magnoliopsida; Arecales; Arecaceae
Description: long non-coding RNA (EGUI_LNC080467)
Source: RNAcentral